Molecule: long non-coding RNA, 1203 nt
Filed under: Homo sapiens (human)
Lineage: Eukaryota; Metazoa; Chordata; Mammalia; Primates; Hominidae
Description: HSALNT0242539
Source: RNAcentral
CAGGCCUCCAAUUUCCUCCUUUAAAGCGCCGCCUGCCUCGCCCAACAACUUCCUGACUCAAGUCUGCCAGCUCACUUCCUCUACUUAUCUACUCCAGCCUUGGGAUGGCUUCUCUGAUGAGUCCUGCCGCACCCAUUGUCAAGUUCAUGACUACGCCAAAGGUCAUGCUGGCAGAACAACACAGGCGGCUGAGCAUCGAGGAUACAAGUGGCUGAGGAGUGAGCAGAGAAGCAACUGAGCAUCAGAGACUAUGGAUAGGUGUGGCUGACUUCAGACAGUGUGGCUUCAGAGAGGGGCCCGGCCGGAGAUGGCUGAACUUCAGGGAAAGAUCACCUUCCCAUCCCCUUUCCAGCCUUCCUUUCCACUGAGAGCCACCCACUACUCAAUAAAGUCUUCCGCACUCAUCACCUUUCAAACAGUCCAUGUGACCUGAUUCUUCUUGGACGCUGGACAAGAACCUGGGUGCUGAGAGGGCAGAGGCUGCCACCCUGACCCCUGAGCUGGUUGGCACUUGGCUGAUCCUGAUGGCAGAGCUGAAAGAGCGCUGGUUGUAACACGCUUGGACGCUGCUGUGGGGCCCACACAGAGCCUGCUCCCACCAGAGAGGAGUGACCAGCCAGUUCCAGUUCCAGUGUUCGUUCGCUCAGGUUCCUGCAUUCGCUCACUCACACUCUCCCUCCUGCGAGGAGUGGCCAGUGGUGGGCUGAGUGAAACGAGACACUCCAGUUCCUGCCCGCAAAGGGGGUCAAGUGAACUAUCCCCUCUCAGCAUUUUACCAAAACUGUUUAUGAGACCCUGUGGUGGUAGUAGUUUAGAGCAGCAGUGGUUGUGGGGGACAUUUUACACCUGUGUUUUAGUUUUCUUACCUGUAAAAUGGAGCUAAUGGUAGCAUCUGUCUCAUAGCACUGUGAGUGUGUGGGAUGAAUUGAAUGGGAUGAUUUUUGCAAAGCAUUUUCGGGCAGUGCCUGCACGUGAAAUGUGUCUUCAAGGCACCGGCCAGCCACAACCUGGGUGAGAUGGAGCUUCAGGGCCAUCUGCUGCCCAGAACUCAGGACACUGCUUUUCUACAUCUGUCCCUAGAAAGGGACAAAAUAGACAGGUUGGUAAAGGGGCCUUUGGGUCAACUCAUUCCUCACCAAGAUCUAUCUUUUUCUUUCCAUUCUUCUUCCUUCUCUGAGUUUAAUUUUUUUAAAGCCAAACUUC